Molecule: ribosomal RNA, 923 nt
Filed under: Clostridioides difficile
Lineage: Bacteria; Bacillati; Bacillota; Clostridia; Peptostreptococcales; Peptostreptococcaceae
Description: partial 23S ribosomal RNA
Rfam family: Bacterial large subunit ribosomal RNA
Source: RNAcentral
UGGUCAAGUUAUUAAGGGUGCAGGGCGGAUGCCUUGGCACUAGGAGCCGAUGAAGGACGUGAUAAGCUGCGAUAAGCUUCGGGGAGUUGCACGUAAACUUUGAUCCGAAGAUUUCCGAAUGAGGAAACUCACUUAGAGUAAUGUCUAAGUAUCAUUAAGUGAAUACAUAGCUUAAUGAGGGGAACUCAGGGAACUGAAACAUCUAAGUACCUGAAGGAAGAGAAAGAAAUUCGAUUCCGUAAGUAGCGGCGAGCGAACGCGGAUUAGCCCAAACCAAUAAAGUUUUCUUUAUUGGGGUUGCGGACAUAUCAUAACGAAGAGGUAUCGUAAUUGAAGAGGUUUGGAAAGACCCACCACAGAAGGUAAUAGUCCUGUAUGUUAAACGAGAAGACUUCAGAUAUGAUCCAGAGUACCACGGGACACGUGAAACCCUGUGGGAAGCAGGAGGGACCACCCUCCAAGGCUAAAUACUACCUAGUGACCGAUAGCGUAUAGUACCGUGAGGGAAAGGUGAAAAGAACCCCGGGAGGGGAGUGAAAUAGAACCUGAAACCCUGCACUUACAAGCUGUGGAAGCACAUUUCUUGUGUGACCGCGUACUUUUUGUAGAACGGGCCAACGAGUUACGUUAAGUAGCAAGGUUAAGCACUUAAGGUGCGGAGCCGUAGCGAAAGCGAGUUUUAACUGAGCGUUCAGUUACUUGACGUAGACCCGAAACCGGGCGACCUACCCAUGAGCAGGAUGAAGCGAAAGUAAAAUUUCGUGGAGGUCCGAACCCACGAGCGUUGAAAAGCUCGGGGAUGACUUGUGGGUAGCGGUGAAAUUCCAAUCGAGCCCGGAGAUAGCUGGUUCUCCCCGAAAUAGCUUUAGGGCUAGCCUCAAGGUGAGAGAUACGGAGGUAGAGCACUGAAUGUCCUAGGGGGU